GUGCCAGCCGCCGCGGUAAUACCGGCAGCUCAAGUGAUGACCGAUUUUAUUGGGCCUAAAGCGUCCGUAGCUGGCCGCGCAAGUCUGUCGGGAAAUCCACCCGCUUAACGGGUGGGCGUCCGGCGGAAACUGUGCGGCUUGGGACAGGAAGGCUCGAGGGGUACGUUCGGGGUAGGAGUGAAAUCCCGUAAUCCUGAACGGACCACCGAUGGCGAAAGCACCUCGAGAGGACUGAUCCGACAGUGAGGGACGAAAGCUAGGGUCUCGAACCGGAUUAGAUACCCCCGUAGUC
RNAcentral lists this ribosomal RNA (292 nucleotides) under uncultured prokaryote. RNAcentral's name for it is "partial 16S ribosomal RNA". It matches the Rfam family "Archaeal small subunit ribosomal RNA", at positions 455 to 746 of the family's 1478-position model. The record is from RNAcentral.